AUAGGACAUGCAAGUCGAACGGGGCCAGGUUUGUAGCAAUACAAACUUGGUUCAGUGGCGCACGGGUGCGUAACACGUGAGCAAUCUGCCGGGAAGUGGGGGAUAGCUCGCCGAAAGGCGAAUUAAUACCGCAUGUGGCCAUUCUUCGAGUGGAGGAAAAGCCAAAGCUGCAAUGCGCUUCCUGAUGAGCUCGCGGCCUAUCAGCUAGAUGGCGGGAUAACGGCCCACCAUGGCUAUGACGGGUAGCUGGUCUGAGAGGACGACCAGCCACACUGGAACUGAGACACGGUCCAGACACCUACGGGUGGCAGCAGUCGAGAAUUUUUCACAAUGGGGGCAACCCUGAUGGAGCGACGCCGCGUGGAGGAUGAAGGCCUUCGGGUUGUAAACUCCUGUCAUGCGGGAACAAGCAAGUGAUAGUACCGCAAGAGGAAGAGACGGCUAACUCUGUGCCAGCAGCCGCGGUAAUACAGAGGUCUCAAGCGUUGUUCGGAUUCAUUGGGCGUAAAGGGUGCGUAGGUGGUGGCGCAAGUCUGGUGUGAAAUCUCGGAGCUCAACUCCGAAAUUGCACCGGAUACUGCGUGACUCGAGGACUGUAGAGGAGAUCGGAAUUCACGGUGUAGCAGUGAAAUGCGUAGAUAUCAAGCGGAACACCAGUGGCGAAGGCGAGUCCCUGGACAACACCUGACACUGAGGCACGAAAGCUAGGGGAGCAAACAGGAUUAGAUACCCUGGUAGUCCUAGCUGUAAACGGUGCUUGCUUGCUGUAAAAGGAAUCGACCCCUUUUGUGGCGCAGCCAACGCGAUAAGCAAGCCGCCUGGGAAGUACGGUCGCAAGAUUAAAACUCAAAGAAAUUGACGGGGGCCUGCACAAGCGGUGGAGUAUGUGGCUUAAUUCGAUGCAACGCGAAGAACCUUACCUGGCCUUGACAUGUACGUAGUAGAAGGAUGAAAGUCUGACGAGGUAGCAAUACCAGCGUACACAGGUGCUGCAUGGCUGUCGUCAGCUCGUGUCGUGAGAUGUUGGGUUAAGUCCCGCAACGAGCGCAACCCCUAUGUCCUGUUGCAAUUCCAACGAGAGUUGGGAGCACUCUGGACAGACUGCCUCGCUUAAACGAGGAAGAAGGUGGGGAUGACGUCAAGUCAGUAUGGCCCUUACGGCCAGGGCUGCACACGUACUACAAUGCCCGGCACAAAGGGAAGCAAGACCGCGAGGUGGAGCAAAUCUCCGAAAACCGGGCCCAGUUCAGAUUGAAGUCUGCAACUCGACUUCAUGAAGCUGGAAUCGCUAGUAAUGGCGCAUCAGCUACGGCGCCGUGAAUACAUUCCCAAGG
This 1334-nucleotide ribosomal RNA is filed under the name uncultured bacterium. RNAcentral's name for it is "bacterial SSU rRNA". It matches the Rfam family "Bacterial small subunit ribosomal RNA", at positions 48 to 1378 of the family's 1533-position model. The record is from RNAcentral.